Molecule: ribosomal RNA, 497 nt
Filed under: uncultured bacterium
Lineage: Bacteria
Description: partial 16S ribosomal RNA
Rfam family: Bacterial small subunit ribosomal RNA
Source: RNAcentral
GAUGAACGCUGGCGGCGUGCCUAAUACAUGCAAGUCGAGCGAACAGACGAGGAGCUUGCUCCUCUGACGUUAGCGGCGGACGGGUGAGUAACACGUGGAUAACCUACCUAUAAGACUGGGAUAACUUCGGGAAACCGGAGCUAAUACCGGAUAAUAUAUUGAACCGCAUGGUUCAAUAGUGAAAGAGGGUUUUGCUGUCACUUAUAGAUGGAUCCGCGCCGCAUUAGCUAGUUGGUAAGGUAACGGCUUACCAAGGCAACGAUGCGUAGCCGACCUGAGAGGGUGAUCGGCCACACUGGAACUGAGACACGGUCCAGACUCCUACGGGAGGCAGCAGUAGGGAAUCUUCCGCAAUGGGCGAAAGCCUGACGGAGCAACGCCGCGUGAGUGAUGAAGGUCUUCGGAUCGUAAAACUCUGUUAUUAGGGAAGAACAAAUGUGUAAGUAACUAUGCACGUCUUGACGGUACCUAAUCAGAAAGCCACGGCUAACUACGUG